This is a non-coding RNA of Camponotus floridanus (Florida carpenter ant), 41 nucleotides long. Lineage: Eukaryota; Metazoa; Arthropoda; Insecta; Hymenoptera; Formicidae. The record is from Rfam.
UAAACGGCCCUUUUCAGGGCCACCAAUAAAAUCUACAAAUA